RNAcentral lists this ribosomal RNA (485 nucleotides) under Leufroyia concinna. RNAcentral describes it as "Raphitoma concinna partial 16S ribosomal RNA". It matches the Rfam family "Bacterial large subunit ribosomal RNA", at positions 1845 to 2598 of the family's 2925-position model. Lineage: Eukaryota; Metazoa; Mollusca; Gastropoda; Neogastropoda; Raphitomidae. The record is from RNAcentral.
AUAGGAAGUCAUACCUGCCCGGUGAAAAUUUUUAACGGCCGCGGUACUCUGACCGUGCAAAGGUAGCAUAAUAAUUUGCCUUAUAAUUGAAGGCUAGAAUGAAUGGUUUGACAUGGAUAAAGCUGUCUCUAUAAAAUUAGUUAAAAUUUUAUUUAUAGGUGAAAAAGCCUAUAUUUUAUUAAAAGACAAGAAGACCCCAUCGAGCUUUAAAAAAAUUGGUAAGAGAUUAAUAGUUUUUCAAAAGUUAAUUUACCAAAAAUUUUGGUUGGGGCAACCUAGGAGCAUAUAAAACCUCCUAUUUUUAUAAAACACUUAGUUAUGAUCCAAAAAUUUUGAUUAAAAGAAAUAGUUACCGUGGGGAUAACAGCAUUAUUUUUUUUGAGAGCUCUUAUCGAAAAAAAAGUUUGUGACCUCGAUGUUGGAUCAGAAUACCCCAAAGAUGCAGAAGUCUUUAAAGGUUGGUCUGUUCGACCAUUAAAAUUCUA